AUAGAAUACAGACAGAGAUUCUGAAUGUGAGCAAUGCCAACCCCUGGGCUGGGGCCUCUGGCGGGAGCCAGCAUGACACAGGCAUUCCUGUCUCUGCUCCUCUCCUGCCAUCCAGUGACCUGCUCUGCUCUCCUGUGACACGAUAGAAUGGACCUUGAAAGCCAGGAACCUGUCAGAUACUUGUCACAGAGAUGGAAAAGUAACUGAUACAUGAUCACAAAGAUGUGAACCUUUCAAUAACGAUAGCUUUGAAAUAGCAAGCCUAAAUACAAAGCAAACUUUAAGUCGGGCCAUUUCAACUGCUUAACGACAGGGUCAGCACCAUCUUCUCAAAGCCUCUCCAGACCUUCAAGUCUCUGGCACGACUACAUCACAGUAAAGUCACAGAAUCCCCAUAAUGGCAUCAUAAUCAACACACAUCUACGUGGUUACGGAAUUCUGGGAUGAACUCUGUGAGAGAAUCAAAUGACCUGAGGAAAUAUACAGACAAAGUAUGAAGCAGAGACUGAAGGAAAGGCCAUCCAGGGACUGCCCCACCUGGGGAUCCAUCCCAUCUGCAGCCACCAAACCCAGUCACUACUGCUGAUGCCAAGAAGUGCUUGCUGACAGGAGCCUGGUAUGGAUGUCUCUUGAGUGGCUCUGCCAGAUUCUGACCAAUACAAAUGCAGAUGCUCACAACCAACUAUCGGACUGAGCACGGGGACCCUAAUGGAGGAGUUAGAGAAAGGACUGAAGGAGCUGAAGAGGUUUGCAACCCUUAGGAAGAGCCACAAUGUCAACUAAGCAGACCCCCCGCCCCAGAGCUCCCAGGGACUAAGCCACCAACCAAAGAGUACACAUGGAGGAACCCAGGGCUCCAGAGGCAUAUGUAGCAGAGGAUGGCAUUGUUGGCAUCAAUAGGAAGAAAAGCCCUUGGUUCUGUGAAGGCUGGUUUCCCCAGUGCAGGAGAUGCUAGGGUGGUAAGGUGGGAGUAUAUGGGUGGGAGGGAGUAGCGGGGGAGAGGGGCUAGGAGAGGGGGAAACUGGGAAAGGGGACAACAUUUGAAAUGUAAAUACAUAAAAUAUCUAAUUAAAACAAAGAGCUCACAAA
Rattus norvegicus (Norway rat) is the source of this 1089-nucleotide non-coding RNA. The record is from RefSeq and is a predicted model, not a curated record. Lineage: Eukaryota; Metazoa; Chordata; Mammalia; Rodentia; Muridae.